GUGCUAGGACCACACACACCUGAUACUUGGCAGUUUACAUACCCACACUUAACUAUCGUCUGGGUCUACAUUCUUCUGUGUAGUAACCGUCACUACAUGCUUUGGUUUGUCAAGGUGUCCAUAUUCACACUCACCUGUACCAAGGCUAUACAGAACAGAAGUGACAACACAAUUCACUAGUAGCUCCUAAAUCGCUCCACUAACUGAUGCUGUUCAAAUAGCAAUACCAAUGUAUACAAGUAGUACCAAUACAGUAGUACGGUGAUUCUAUCACGUUCUAGAGAACGUAGAAUUCUAUAGAAUCCUAAAUAACAGUUCUCUUUGACCUCUAGUGUUCUGAUAUUGUGUGAAUGAACAUUCAUGUCCACCAUGAUAUUUCAUUAACGGUAUUCAACCAGCGGGGAGAGAGAGAGAAACAUAUACAUUAUAUCGAGAGAUAGGAGCAACAGACAGAGAGAGAGAAACAUAUACAUUAUAUCGAGAGAUAGGAGCAGUACAGAGAGAGAGAGAGACAGACAGAGAGAGAAAAACAUAUACAUUAUAUCGAGAGAUAGGAGCAGUACGGAGAGAGAGAGAGAGAGAGAGAGAGAGAGAGAGACAGACAGACAGACAGACAGACAGACAGACAGACAGACAGACAGACAGACAAGCAGCUGUCCCAGGGGCACCUUCCUUUAGGGCUCAUCUCUACAAAGGGCCAGGGGAUGGCCUGUCUCCCCAUCCAUCCCCCUGAUAAUAGCACACAUCUGGGUGGACAAGAUAGGGCCCCCAAGACCCCCACACACAGAAAGAGAUGAAGGUAGAUGGGUAGCUAGCACAUUUGCGUGCUUGAGUCCUGCUGCGCAUUUGUUCCCGUUCCAUCCCUCAUUACAUCAGCACAUUUAAAGACCUCGAUCAGUCGUCCAAUGAUCACACACACACACACCUUAUUAAAACAGCCCUGCUAGGCAGGAGGAGGGACCAUCACAAAAACCAGUCAAGUCUCUCACAAUUAAAAAUCUGAGAACACAAUACAAAAUACUUUUGGGGGGGGGUUUCAAACAAAAACCUUACCCUCCCCAUCUUAACACACACACACACACACACACACACACAC
Molecule: long non-coding RNA, 1096 nt
Organism: Oncorhynchus tshawytscha (Chinook salmon)
Lineage: Eukaryota; Metazoa; Chordata; Actinopteri; Salmoniformes; Salmonidae
Source: Ensembl